CCUACGGGAGGCAGCAGUGGGGAAUAUUGCACAAUGGGCGAAAGCCUGAUGCAGCGACGCCGCGUGAGGGAUGACGGCCUUCGGGUUGUAAACCUCUUUCAGUAGGGAAGAAGCGAAAGUGACGGUACCUGCAGAAGAAGCGCCGGCUAACUACGUGCCAGCAGCCGCGGUAAUACGUAGGGCGCAAGCGUUAUCCGGAAUUAUUGGGCGUAAAGAGCUCGUAGGCGGUUUGUCGCGUCUGCCGUGAAAGUCCGGGGCUCAACUCCGGAUCUGCGGUGGGUACGGGCAGACUAGAGUGAUGUAGGGGAGACUGGAAUUCCUGGUGUAGCGGUGAAAUGCGCAGAUAUCAGGAGGAACACCGAUGGCGAAGGCAGGUCUCUGGGCAUUAACUGACGCUGAGGAGCGAAAGCAUGGGGAGCGAACAGGAUUAGAUACCCUGGUAGUCCAUGCCGUAAACGUUGGGCACUAGGUNUGGGGGAACCAUUCCACGUUUCCGCGCGUAGCUACGCAUUAGUGCCCCGCGUGGGNGACGGCGCGAGACGUAACUAAACUAGAGUAGACGCGNGAGAGUGCGACGACGACGACGAGGGAGUAGG
This 596-nucleotide ribosomal RNA is filed under the name uncultured bacterium. RNAcentral describes it as "bacterial SSU rRNA". The stretch from base 1 to 523 matches the Rfam family "Bacterial small subunit ribosomal RNA", at positions 338 to 873 of the family's 1533-position model. The record is from RNAcentral.